Molecule: ribosomal RNA, 325 nt
Filed under: uncultured Sandonidae
Lineage: Eukaryota; Cercozoa; Glissomonadida; Viridiraptoridae
Description: bacterial SSU rRNA
Rfam family: Eukaryotic small subunit ribosomal RNA (bases 103-325)
Source: RNAcentral
GAUUUCUGGUAUGGUGCGCCUAUCCCACUGACGCAAGUCAGCGAGUGAUGGUGUGCGCCUGCCAUCCUUCUGGACAAGUUUUCACGAGAUUCUUAACUGAGUUUCGUGAAAAACCAGAUCAUUUACUUUGAAAAAAUUAGAGUGUUUAAAGCAGGCUUGCGCUAUGAAUACAUUAGCAUGGAAUAAUAAAUUAGGACUUUCUCUCCUAUUUUAUUGGUUUCUAGGAAGGAAGUAAUGAUUGAUAGGGAUAGUUGGGGGUGCUAGUAUUCGUCGGCCAGAGGUGAAAUUCUUGGAUUCGAUGAAGACUAACUAAUGCGAAAGCAUU